CCUACGGGAGGCAGCAGUGGGGAAUAUUGGACAAUGGGCGAAAGCCUGAUCCAGCAAUGCCGCGUGAGUGAUGAAGGCCUUCGGGUCGUAAAGCUCUUUUACCAGGGAUGAUAAUGACAGUACCUGGAGAAUAAGCUCCGGCUAACUCCGUGCCAGCAGCCGCGGUAAUACGGAGGGAGCUAGCGUUGUUCGGAAUUACUGGGCGUAAAGAGUACGUAGGCGGUUAUUCAAGUCAGAGGUGAAAGCCCGGGGCUCAACCCCGGAACUGCCUUUGAAACUAGAUAGCUAGAGUCUUGGAGAGGUUAGUGGAAUUCCGAGUGUAGAGGUGAAAUUCGUAGAUAUUCGGAAGAACACCAGUGGCGAAGGCGACUAACUGGACAAGUACUGACGCUGAGGUACGAAAGCGUGGGGAGCAAACAGGAUUAGAUACCCUGGUAGUCCACGCCGUAAACGAUGAUAACUAGUUGUUCGGUCACUUGGUGACUGAGUGACGCAGCUAACGCAUUAAGUUAUCCGCCUGGGGAGUACGGUCGCAAGAUUAAAACUCAAAGAUAUACGACGNGAGAGAGCGACGACGACGACGACGGAGGAGAG
This 594-nucleotide ribosomal RNA is filed under the name uncultured bacterium. Its description in RNAcentral is "bacterial SSU rRNA". It matches the Rfam family "Bacterial small subunit ribosomal RNA", at positions 338 to 948 of the family's 1533-position model. The record is from RNAcentral.